This 1364-nucleotide ribosomal RNA is filed under the name metagenome. RNAcentral describes it as "eukaryotic LSU rRNA". It matches the Rfam family "Eukaryotic large subunit ribosomal RNA", at positions 1731 to 3012 of the family's 3401-position model. The record is from RNAcentral.
CUAUGCGGAGAUGGGGUUAGAUGAUUGCAAGAGCAUCCCGCCCUUCGGGAUGUCCUGUGCGCAGGGGAUGGUCCAUGAAAAUCUAAGCAAGUAAAUAUUCUCGGACUGAGUCGUACUGAUAACCGCAUCAGGUCUCCUAGGUGAACAGCCUCUGGCGAAAUAGAAUAAUGUAAGUUAGGGAAGCCGGCAAAACUGUUUUGUAACUUCGGGAUAAAAAGUGGCUCUAAAGAUUGGGUGAGGGGGGCCUCAUUGGUGGUUUCGAGAGCGCCUAGGAUGGGGAGCCGCCUUUCGGGGUAGCAUCGCUGUCUUGGGUGUUUUUGGAGCCUUACUGGUGGGGACGCUGGGGGGAAGUUCGUUCUCGUAGCGGAUUUCUUUACAGUCUUAGCCCGCUCACGGGUAACAAUCAAUUUAGAACUGGUACGAACACGAGGAAUCCGACUGUUUAAUUAAAACAAAGCAUUGUGAUGGACUUAAUAGUUGUUGACACAAUGUGAUUUCUGCUCAGUGCUCUGAAUGUCAAGGUGAAGAAAUUCAAUCAAGCGCGGGUAAACAGCGGGAGUAACUAUGACUCUCUUAAGGUAGCCAAAUGCCUCGUAAUCUAAUUAGUGACGCGCACGAAUGGAUCAAUGAGAUUCCUACUGUCCCAACUUACUAUCUAGCGAACCACAGCUAAGGGAACGGGCUUAGCAAAAUCAGCGGGGAAAGAAGACCCUGUUGAGCUUAACUCUAGUCUGACUUUGUGAAUUGAUGCGAGGGGUAUAGAAUAGGUGGGAGCGAAAGCAAUCUUGUAAUACCACUACCCUUGACGUUGAUUCGCUUAUUUACUUGAAUAGGGAAGGGGGGAAACCCCCAAUUUCUGGAACUAAUUGGGUUAACAAGCUCUGGGAACUGGCUCUUUCGGGGGUCAGUGCUGCUGGGGCCUCUGUUCUCGAGAUCUAAUGUAAAGACACUGUCAGGUGGGGAGUUUGGCUGGGGCGGCACAUCUGUUAAAAGAUAACACAGGUGUCCAAAGGGAGGCUCAAUAAGAACAGAAAUCUCAUGUAAAACAAAAGGGCAAAAGCCUCCUUGAUUUGGAUUUCCACAGUAAGAAUACAAACUGCGAAAGCAUGGCCUAUCGAUCCUUUAACCAUUGCGUUUCGGAUCUAAAGUUAGAGGUGUCAGAAAAGUUACCACAGGGAUAACUGGCUUGUGGCUGCCAAGCGUGCAUAGCGACGUAGCUUUUUGAUCCUUCGAUGUCGGCUCUUCCUAUCAUUGCGAAGCAGAAUUCGCCAAGUGUUGGAUUGUUCACCCUUCAAAAGGGAACGUGAGCUGGGUUUAGACCGCCGUGAGACAGGUUAGUUUUACCCUACUGAUGAAAGUGUACG